Transfer RNA from Beauveria bassiana D1-5, 91 nucleotides. It matches the Rfam family "tRNA". From Rfam's summary of the family: Transfer RNA (tRNA) molecules are approximately 80 nucleotides in length. Their secondary structure includes four short double-helical elements and three loops (D, anti-codon, and T loops). The record is from Rfam. NCBI's taxonomy places the organism in Eukaryota, Fungi, Ascomycota, Sordariomycetes, Hypocreales, Cordycipitaceae.
GCCUGGUUAGCUCAAUCGGUAGAGCGUGAGACUCUUAACAAAGAGCAUUCACACAAUCUCAAGGCUGCGGGUUCGACCCCCGCAUCGGGCU